Molecule: long non-coding RNA, 1348 nt
Filed under: Scleropages formosus (Asian bonytongue)
Lineage: Eukaryota; Metazoa; Chordata; Actinopteri; Osteoglossiformes; Osteoglossidae
Description: lncRNA (ENSSFOG00015031395.1)
Source: RNAcentral
GACCUUGUUCAAAGGUACUACAGCAAGGCUUCAACUGGCAGCCUGUAGGGUAUAAGUGUAUGUCCUUUAUGAUGACUUCAGUAAAAAAAGGUACUUGACAAAUAUACUGAUGAUUGUGAUGCAAUAGAUACAUGCUGCCUGUUUAUUAAAAAGCACCUGUGUAUUAUCUUGGCAUAAGCAGUGAUGGUAUGUUUCUGUACUGUACUGUGCUGAAGCCUUAGAGUUGACCCUGAGUGUCCUAAUUCUCUCUAUUGGUUCCUGACACAGGAAGGUGAUUUCGCUGCACCCCAAGUGGACGAGCUUGUUUUUUCGGAGCCCCAGUGCCAACUGUAGCCUUGCUCCCGUCGGGGCUGCGACACAGUCAGUGCUGCACAGGUCUGGAGUUGCCUCACGGGACCUUUCCCGAGUUCUGGACCAGAUGUUGCCCUACCAAACACGGGGCCGUAAGGAGAGAGGGGUACUGCCUCACCCUGAAUGCCUGAGAGAAGAGGUGCCUUCUGCAGCAGACCAUCAACGGCCUUUCACUCCAGCUGCCUCGCCCGGCCAAUCCGACUUUACAGCAUUGAACCAAUGUCCAGUGACAUAGCCCGGGACUUGUUCCACCCGACCAACGGACAAAACCGGAUCCGCUUUACAGUGCCUGAUCAGCGUUCAGUGACGUAGCCUGGGAUUACUCUGCUAGACCACGCGACCAACACACAUGGCAGCAUUCACGCUACUUGAUGAACAGAGAUACAUCUGAACCUGUUUCAAGAGACCGAUGGACAUAACUGGACCCACACUUGCAGAGGAAUGGACAUAGCCAGAUCCCCUGUACCUGGAAAAUGGACAUAUCUGGACCUACGCUUUCUGGUCAUAGAUAUCGUCUCUACUUUUGACCGUUGGAAGUGAGUCCACUCUCCCUGACCAGUGGACAAAGCCAGACCCACUGUCACUGACCAGUGUUAACAGGACUCUCUUUCCCAAUUCGGCCCUAUCACGGAGGGGAGGGGGGUCUUUCCCCUUGGAUCAAAGGCCUUCAGUGCUGUACUGACCACUGCCCUUGCUCUGUAUUCUGUGUCCCAUCAGUGUUCCCCUGCCAUUGUCCUGACCACGCAAUGUGCAGCCUGUGAGCAGAGAGACGCCCCAGUCCUGCUUGGCCCAUCUACUGCAGUGUAACCGCGUGCUCUUGUCUUUAAUGUGAAUUCAUAAACAGAUCAGCGUACAAAAUUCCCUUGGCCUUGAUUCCCUUGAUUUGCUCAUCGUCCUUCAUUUUCUAGUGGCUAACAGGGCAGCGGGUGCUGAUGCACGGAGAGGUUCCUAGUGCGAAAUGUGCGCAGUAGCCAAGAAGUUUAACAAACACUUUGCU